CCUACGGGAGACUGCAGUGGGGGAUAUUGCACAAUGGGGGAAACCCUGAUGCAGCGACGCCGCGUGUGGGAAGACGGUCCUCUGGAUUGUAAACCACUGUCCCCAGGGACGAAGAUGACGGUACCGGGGGAGGAAGCGCCGGCUAACUACGUGCCAGCAGCCGCGGGAAUACGUAGGGAGCGAGCGUUGUCCGGAAUUACUGGGUGUAAAGGGAGCGGAGGCGGGACUGCAAGUUGGGUGUCAAAUCUACCGGCUCAACCGGUAGCCGCACUCCAAACUGCAGUUCUUGAGUGAAGUAGAGGCAGGCGGAAUUCCUAGUGUAGCGGUGAAAUGCGUAGAUAUUAGGAGGAACACCAGUGGCGAAGGCGGCCUGCUGGGCUUUUACUGACGCUGAGGCUCGAAAGUGUGGGGAGCAUACAGGAUUAGAUACCCGUGUAGUC
This 440-nucleotide ribosomal RNA is filed under the name uncultured bacterium. Its description in RNAcentral is "partial 16S ribosomal RNA". It matches the Rfam family "Bacterial small subunit ribosomal RNA", at positions 338 to 795 of the family's 1533-position model. The record is from RNAcentral.